RNAcentral lists this ribosomal RNA (164 nucleotides) under uncultured bacterium. RNAcentral's name for it is "partial 16S ribosomal RNA". It matches the Rfam family "Bacterial small subunit ribosomal RNA", at positions 1338 to 1500 of the family's 1533-position model. The record is from RNAcentral.
GUAAUGGCAGGUCAGCAUACUGCCGUGAAUACGUUCCCGGGCCUUGUACACACCGCCCGUCACACCAUGAGAGUUAGGAAUACCCGAAGCCUGUGAGCUAACUUUAAUAGAGGCAGCAGUCGAAGGUAGAACUAAUGAUUGGGGUGAAGUCGUAACAAGGUAGC